RNAcentral lists this unclassified non-coding RNA (184 nucleotides) under soil metagenome. Its description in RNAcentral is "partial contains 5.8S ribosomal RNA, internal transcribed spacer 2, and large subunit ribosomal RNA". The record is from RNAcentral.
AACGGUCUAUACCUGCGGUACCUGCGGAAGGAUCAUUAUCGAAGCAUAGAGCGCGCUUUGCUGCGGCUCGACCCUUCACAUCCGCUCACCCCUGUGCACUGUAACCAUUUAUCCUCUAACCCUACUGGUUGAUGAAUGUAAUGGACCCUUAUAAUUAGCAUAAAACUUUUAGCAACGGAUCUCU